GGGGUUGCUUUCUUCAUUUGUUUAUUUCUUCUUCUUGUUCUUCUUUUUUUAAAGUUGCCUCCUGUGUAAUUCAUUUGAACUACUGGCCGCUAUACUGUUGUUGGUUUUUUCCCUUUGUUUAAUGCUGCUUUUUUCUCUUUCUUUUUUAUCAUCAAAUUCACAUUUUCUAAUGUGUUUUUCAGGUACAGUUUCCUGCAUGCUGUCAAAUACAUCCAUCAUGUUGCAGUUUAUUGCCAUAUUAUGUACCAUGAUCGUCACCAAGAACCAACUCUGUGAUGUCUUCUAGUUUGUCUGCUGGUUGUCUUCAGCUAGUACAGCAGCAUCUCUAACAUGUCUGUCAAUUCUCCAAUCUGGAUUGAACAUCACUGUCCCAACAAUUGCGACAUCUGUUUCAGACUUUUCAUCAGGAUGUUCUUCACAUAUUGUAUCAUAUAGCAAUAGAAAUGUUCACACUUUAAUAGCUCAGUUGUGUGACUAUGCCAGUUACAAACAUUUACUAAAUUAAUAUACUAUAUAUUUAUUACCCAUAUGGUUAUACCUUUGUACAUAUUAAAGUGAUACGUCCCACUAGAACGUGACGUCAUCGACUGGUGCACUACAACCUUACAGGAACACCAUCCAAACGAGUUGAGCGAUAUAAAUUAAGAUCGAUUAUGGCUAAUAUAUAUCAUAUGAAACUCGCUACCAUUUGGUAUCAUGUUUAUCUCCCUCGUAAAAAAAUUAUUUCACUCCUGACAUGCACAUGAUACGAAGUGGAAGCUCGUUUAAUAUCCUAUAUAUCUUUUUGUUUUUUAAAUAUUGUAUGGUAAGUAUUGUUGGCUACAUAAACCAUCUAAUUUUCAAGACAAAUCAUCAGAUAUAUACUAGAGUUUUAACCCCAAAAAAAGAAAACAAAAAAAAGAAGAAACGAAAAUACGACUAAAUACUGAUUUGGUUGUAGAUGAGGCUAUCUCAAAUGUGAAAUAGCUGUAAAAAUUAUUUUGGGAACUUGAUAAGAGGCUGACGAUAUAUUUUUGCUAAAUUAUUUAUUAGAACCUGUUUAGCAAACGAAGGAAAACAUAAAUUAAACUGUACAAAAUCUGUUAUGUUAUGUGAGGGUGGCAUUUUUUUCUGUAAUCCAAAACGUAUGGUAAUAUUUUAUCUCCGAGGCCAGAAUAGAUCUAUCUACAGUUAAAAUAUAUAUAUUAAUGACUUUUAAGCAUGUUUCUUCAACAUGAUAAAAUUAUCAACAAUUCAAUAUCGACCUUUUCGGACAUGGGUGUAUAGCGCAAGAGACAGCCAUAGUGGAUUGGUUAAUGAACUGCCUGUUCGGACCAGUACCACAGCCAGAUGCGGUAAUAUAGAAGAAAAAACCCCAGAGGGAAUUGUUCUAAAUUUUGGAGUGAACAUAUAUGUUUAUAUAAUGCAUGUUCGCAAUGGUGUAUGUUGUUAGUGCCAACGAGAACCCGUUCUACUGGCAAUCUUCAUUUGAAGUUGGGCAAUUUAACAUGGCUUUCAAUAGCAGAUGACAUGUUUUUUAGUGAGACCACAAUGUAAAACAUAAAAUUGGUGUUUAUCCCCAAAAAUAUAAGUUUAGCAAGCCAAAAUGAAAAUGUACUAGUGUAGCAUCCUUAUAAAAAGGUAAUUUUAUCGAUGUGUAUUUUUUUUUUUUUUUUAGGGGGUGGGGGUCAAAAUGUAUAUGCUAGUGUUCUUACAUGUAAUAUAUACAUUGAUCUGAGUUUCUAACAUUGAGUUUCUCAUUGUAAAAAGUCAAAAUUUAAGGUCACAAGAUCAAUAUCCAAAUUCACCCUAAUUUCUCUGAUUCUGUGCAUAAUGAAUGUUUUCGAAUGUAAUAGUAUCUUGAAUAUAAAACAUAGUAUUCUACUAUAAAAGUAGAAUUUGUAUCUGCCAUACAUAAUGUAUGGAUCUUCAUGCUGAAAUAUACAGAAAAAAAACCAACAACCAGGAUUUCCACACUUCAUUGUGAAAUAAUUGUUGCCCAUUGUUGAUCAAAACUAAUAUUUUUAAUGAACUAACUAGAUAAUUAGCUUUUUUGUUUGUUCCUUAUAUCACAACUACCAAAACAGGUCAUGCAUUACCAUGUAGUGUUGCUUGUUUGAUGGCCAUCUAUUGUGUGGAUGACCAAGGAGUGAUAAUGUGACAUGAAGUUUUAUUGGAUAGUAUGGUAUUUUGGUGCAUUCUUUAGAGUUCAUAAGUUACACUGGUCUAGUAUGACUUUUCAUGGUGUAAAUGACCCAAAUUAUCAAGUGUACUUGAAACCAUGUUUGACCAAAUCUGUUAAGGUCUCACUACACAGAUCACUUCCUGGUGAGAGUUCAUUGAUUGCAGUCCACUAUAGUUCCUUAUUGUGACACAAGUUACGGUUCACAUAUUCGCUUCUUGGAAAUGGUGAAAAAUUAAAACAAUAUGGUAAGCCUUCUGGCUGUAUUUUGCCCAUGCUAUUUUGUAAUAUUGUUCAUUGCAAAAAACUGAGACGGAAAUGUUCUCAAUUUUGGAGUGAAAAUAAAUGCAUACAUAAUGUGUGUUCGCAAUGGA
Molecule: long non-coding RNA, 2535 nt
Organism: Gigantopelta aegis
Lineage: Eukaryota; Metazoa; Mollusca; Gastropoda; Neomphalida; Peltospiridae
Exons: 2
Source: RefSeq, a predicted model, not a curated record